RNAcentral lists this ribosomal RNA (497 nucleotides) under uncultured bacterium. Its description in RNAcentral is "partial 16S ribosomal RNA". It matches the Rfam family "Bacterial small subunit ribosomal RNA", at positions 28 to 507 of the family's 1533-position model. The record is from RNAcentral.
GAUGAACGCUGGCGGCGUGCCUAAUACAUGCAAGUCGAGCGAACAGAUCAGGAGCUUGCUCCGCUGACGUUAGCGGCGGACGGGUGAGUAACACGUGGAUAACCUGCCUAUAAGACUGGGAUAACUUCGGGAAACCGGAGCUAAUACCGCAUAAUAUAUUGAACCGCAUGGUUUGAUGGUGAAAGACGGUGUUGCUGUCUCUUGUUGAUGGAUCCGCGCGGCAUUAGCUAGUUGGUAAGGUAACGGCUUACCAAGGGCGCGAUGCGUAGCCGACCUGAGAGGGUGAUCGGCCACACUGGAACUGAGACACGGUCCAGACUCCUACGGGAGGCAGCAGUAGGGAAUCUUCCGCAAUGGGCGAAAGCCUGACGGAGCAACGCCGCGUGAGUGAUGAAGGUCUUCGGAUCGUAAAACUCUGUUAUUAGGGAAGAACAAGUGUGUAAGUAACUGUGCACGUCUUGACGGUAUCUAAUCAGAAAGCCACGGCUAACUACGUG